GAUGAAGAACGCAGCGAAAUGCGAUAAGUAAUGUGAAUUGCAGAAUUCAGUGAAUCAUCGAAUCUUUGAACGCACAUUGCGCCCCCUGGUAUUCCGGGGGGCAUGCCUGUUCGAGCGUCAUUUCACCACUCAAGCCUCGCUUGGUAUUGGGCAACGCGGUCCGCCGCGUGCCUCAAAUCGACCGGCUGGGUCUUCUGUCCCCUAAGCGUUGUGGAAACUAUUCGCUAAAGGGUGUUCGGGAGGCUACGCCGUAAAACAACCCCAUUUCUAAGGUUGACCUCGGAUCAGGUAGGGAUACCCGCUGAACUUAAGCAUAUCAAUAGCGGAGGA
This 330-nucleotide unclassified non-coding RNA is filed under the name soil metagenome. RNAcentral describes it as "partial contains 5.8S ribosomal RNA, internal transcribed spacer 2, and large subunit ribosomal RNA". The stretch from base 1 to 120 matches the Rfam family "5.8S ribosomal RNA", at positions 35 to 154 of the family's 154-position model. The record is from RNAcentral.